UACGAAGGGGGCUAGCGUUGCUCGGAAUUACUGGGCGUAAAGCGCACGUAGGCGGCUUUCUAAGUCGGGGGUGGAAAUCCUGGAGCUCAACUCCAGAACUGCCUUCGAUACUGGAGAGCUUGAGUCCGGGAGAGGUGAGUGGAACUGCGAGUGUAGAGGUGAAAUUCGUAGAUAUUCGCAAGAACACCAGUGGCGAAGGCGGCUCACUGGCCCGGUACUGACGCUGAGGUGCGAAAGCGUGGGGAGCAAACAGG
Molecule: ribosomal RNA, 254 nt
Filed under: uncultured bacterium
Lineage: Bacteria
Description: partial 16S ribosomal RNA
Rfam family: Bacterial small subunit ribosomal RNA
Source: RNAcentral